GUACCCUAUUUUUUAUUAUUUAACCAAAUGAAUUCAGUAUAAAAUAUUGUAACAUAGACCUAAAAAAUCUAUAAAACAACUUUUAACAACGGAUCUCUUGGUUCUCGCAUCGAUGAAGAACGUAGCAAAGUGCGAUAACUAGUGUGAAUUG
This 151-nucleotide ribosomal RNA is filed under the name Circinella simplex. Its description in RNAcentral is "5.8S ribosomal RNA". The stretch from base 78 to 151 matches the Rfam family "5.8S ribosomal RNA", at positions 1 to 74 of the family's 154-position model. The record is from RNAcentral. Lineage: Eukaryota; Fungi; Mucoromycota; Mucoromycetes; Mucorales; Lichtheimiaceae.